This 611-nucleotide ribosomal RNA is filed under the name Marinobacter salsuginis. Its description in RNAcentral is "bacterial SSU rRNA". It matches the Rfam family "Bacterial small subunit ribosomal RNA", at positions 56 to 657 of the family's 1533-position model. The record is from RNAcentral. Lineage: Bacteria; Pseudomonadati; Pseudomonadota; Gammaproteobacteria; Pseudomonadales; Marinobacteraceae.
UGCAGUCGAGCGGUAACAGGGGUAUGCUUGCUCCCCGCUGACGAGCGGCGGACGGGUGAGUAAUGCUUAGGAAUCUGCCCAGUAGUGGGGGAUAGCCCGGGGAAACCCGGAUUAAUACCGCGUACGCCCUACGGGGGAAAGCAGGGGAUCUUCGGACCUUGCGCUAUUGGAUGAGCCUAUGUCGGAUUAGCUAGUUGGUGGGGUAAAGGCCUACCAAGGCGACGAUCCGUAGCUGGUCUGAGAGGAUGAUCAGCCACAUCGGGACUGAGACACGGCCCGAACUCCUACGGGAGGCAGCAGUGGGGAAUAUUGGACAAUGGGGGCAACCCUGAUCCAGCCAUGCCGCGUGUGUGAAGAAGGCUUUCGGGUUGUAAAGCACUUUCAGUGAGGAGGAAAAGUUUGUCGUUAAUACCGGCGAGGCUUGACGUUACUUACAGAAGAAGCACCGGCUAACUCCGUGCCAGCAGCCGCGGUAAUACGGAGGGUGCAAGCGUUAAUCGGAAUUACUGGGCGUAAAGCGCGCGUAGGUGGUUUGAUAAGCGAGAUGUGAAAGCCCCGGGCUUAACCUGGGGAACGGCAUUUCGAACUGUCAGACUAGAGUGUGGUAGAGG